RNAcentral lists this ribosomal RNA (496 nucleotides) under uncultured bacterium. RNAcentral's name for it is "partial 16S ribosomal RNA". It matches the Rfam family "Bacterial small subunit ribosomal RNA", at positions 28 to 506 of the family's 1533-position model. The record is from RNAcentral.
GAUGAACGCUGGCGGCGUGCCUAAUACAUGCAAGUCGAGCGAACAGACGAGGAGCUUGCUCCUCUGACGUUAGCGGCGGACGGGUGAGUAACACGUGGAUAACCUACCUAUAAGACUGGGAUAACUUCGGGAAACCGGAGCUAAUACCGGAUAAUAUAUUGAACCGCAUGGUUCAAUAGUGAAAGACGGUUUUGCUGUCACUUAUAGAUGGAUCCGCGCCGCAUUAGCUAGUUGGUAAGGUAACGGCUUACCAAGGCGACGAUGCGUAGCCGACCUGAGAGGGUGAUCGGCCACACUGGAACUGAGACACGGUCCAGACUCCUACGGGAGGCAGCAGUAGGGAAUCUGCCGCAAUGGGCGAAAGCCUGACGGAGCAACGCCGCGUGAGUGAUGAAGGUCUUCGGAUCGUAAAACUCUGUUAUUAGGGAAGAACAAAUGUGUAAGUAACGAUGCACGUCUUGACGGUACCUAAUCAGAAAGCCACGGCUAACUACGU